GAUGAAGAACGUAGCGAAAUGCGAUAAGUAAUGUGAAUUGCAGAAUUCAGUGAAUCAUCGAAUCUUUGAACGCACAUUGCGCCCGUCAGUAUUCUGGCGGGCAUGCCUGUUCGAGCGUCAUUACGCCCCUCAAGUCCCCUGUGGACUUGGUGUUGGGGAUCGGCGAGGCUGGUUUUCCAGCACAGCCGUCCCUUAAAUUAAUUGGCGGUCUCGCCGUGGCCCUCCUCUGCGCAGUAGUAAAACACUCGCAACAGGAGCCCGGCGCGGUCCACUGCCGUAAAACCCCCCAACUUUUUAUAGUUGACCUCGAAUCAGGUAGGACUACCCGCUGAACUUAAGCAUAUCAGUAAGCGGAGGA
This 358-nucleotide unclassified non-coding RNA is filed under the name soil metagenome. RNAcentral describes it as "partial contains 5.8S ribosomal RNA, internal transcribed spacer 2, and large subunit ribosomal RNA". The stretch from base 1 to 120 matches the Rfam family "5.8S ribosomal RNA", at positions 35 to 154 of the family's 154-position model. The record is from RNAcentral.